UUAAAGUGGUACGCGAGCUGGGUUUAGAACGUCGUGAGACAGUUCGGUCCCUAUCUGCCGUGGGCGCUGGAGAAUUGAGGGGGGCUGCUCCUAGUACGAGAGGACCGGAGUGGACGCAUCACUGGUGUUCGGGUUGUCAUGCCAAUGGCACUGCCCGGUAGCUAAAUGCGGAAGAGAUAAGUGCUGAAAGCAUCUAAGCACGAAACUUGCCCCGAGAUGAGUUCUCCCUGAGACUUUAAGUCUCCUGAAGGAACGUUAAAGACGAUGACGUUGAUAGGUCGGGUGUGUAAGCGCAGCGAUGCGUUGAGCUAACCGAUACUAAUGAACCGUGAGGCUUAACCUUACAACGCCGAAG
Molecule: ribosomal RNA, 355 nt
Filed under: Enterobacter cloacae subsp. cloacae
Lineage: Bacteria; Pseudomonadati; Pseudomonadota; Gammaproteobacteria; Enterobacterales; Enterobacteriaceae
Description: bacterial LSU rRNA
Rfam family: Bacterial large subunit ribosomal RNA
Source: RNAcentral